GCAGAGAAGCAUCUCUUUCUAAAAUGGAUGUCACUUCCUGUGUCCCCUUCAGUCACUUUCUAAACCACUCAGUGCUCCUUUCCCCUUUCCCAAUGCCAGGCUCAGAAGGUGUGGUGUUUUAGGAAGACUCUUCCCUGGGCCUCUGAGCAAAUCUGAGAAGAGAUUCUUGAAUGUGCCCCAGGUAACAAGCUCCAAAGAAAAUGCCCAGGAGUUCUUUCUCCCGUAACCCCUGCCAAAGUUUUUUGUUGCAUGACCACACUUACAGCCCUACUUGCAACCGUGGUUGUACUUUCCGUUCUUUUGGCAGG
Molecule: non-coding RNA, 308 nt
Organism: Vicugna pacos (alpaca)
Lineage: Eukaryota; Metazoa; Chordata; Mammalia; Artiodactyla; Camelidae
Source: RefSeq, a predicted model, not a curated record